Molecule: ribosomal RNA, 900 nt
Filed under: Triticum aestivum (bread wheat)
Lineage: Eukaryota; Viridiplantae; Streptophyta; Magnoliopsida; Poales; Poaceae
Description: partial small subunit ribosomal RNA
Source: RNAcentral
CGCAUGAAACGCCACGAAACCCCGGGGCUUCCUCCUCCGCCGCCAUCUGGUUCCCCUCCGCUCCCAUCUGCCGCCUCUGCCGAGAUCCAAGGCCUCCGACUUGGGGGCCGCCGCCGCCGCGGAACCCCGGGGCAAGGCAAGGCGUGGUCGUGUUGCGGGCAGUGAGGAGCGGCGCACGGCCGUGCCCUGCAUCUGGUUCCCCUUUGCUCCCCUCGUUCCCCUCCAUCGCCUCCAACGUUCAAUCUCGCCGUCAUGGGAUCGCCGCCGAGCCGAGGACAAAGGCAAGUGUUCUAUUUGUGCAUUGUGACGGGAAUUUUCUUGGAUAACAGAGGAAGCGAGCUAGGAGGAGUACACGGGUGGGAUGACAGAUGAUAAACUUGAUACGGGCAUGUUGUCAUCCAACCGACGUGCCCAGACAUGCUACGUAUUGGCAUGAUGGACUUCUAUGGGAAACAAAGACUUAAGUGAUGUUACUCAUGUUGUAGUAGAUGAAGUACAUGAACACACUGUUUUGUACAUAGCUUCAUGCUCCAUGGAUAAAAUUGUGAGAGUGUUGGAGAUCUCUAAAGGCACUUGUAUCAGAGUCGUAUAUGGAGUUUCUUCCCAGCUAUGCAUCUGCUUUCAUCCUGCAAUUAAUUUUAGCACGGGGAGAGUAAUCAGCAAACUCACCUAUGACAAUGCGGUUACAGCGUUGGAUAUCGACCACACUGGUCAACUUAUUUUUGCUGGUGAUGCGCAGGGUUACAUAUACACUAUUAGUGUGAACUCUCACACAGGGUCUUUAUCUAGAACUCAUAAGAACAAGAGUUGUAAGAUCAAAUCUUCCGUUACAACCAUCCGUGCAGAAUAUCCGUGCUUCUUUCUGUCCACUUCUUUCCCUUGAGAAAGGGGAAUUCAUAG